RNAcentral lists this ribosomal RNA (497 nucleotides) under uncultured bacterium. Its description in RNAcentral is "partial 16S ribosomal RNA". It matches the Rfam family "Bacterial small subunit ribosomal RNA", at positions 28 to 507 of the family's 1533-position model. The record is from RNAcentral.
GAUGAACGCUGGCGGCGUGCCUAAUACAUGCAAGCCGAGCGAACAGAUGAGGAGCUUGCUCCUCUGACGUUAGCGGCGGACGGGUGAGUAACACGUGGAUAACCUACCUAUAAGACUGGGAUAACUUUGGGAAACCGGAGCUAAUACCGGAUAAUAUAUUGAACCGCAUGGUUCAAUAGUGAAAGACGGUUUUGCUGUCACUUAUAGAUGGAUCCGCGCCGCAUUAGCUAGUUGGUAAGGUAACGGCUUACCAAGGCAACGAUGCGUAGCCGACCUGAGAGGGUGAUCGGCCACACUGGAACUGAGACACGGUCCAGACUCCUACGGGAGGCAGCAGUAGGGAAUCUUCCGCAAUGGGCGAAAGCCUGACGGAGCAACGCCGCGUGAGUGAUGAAGGUCUUCGGAUCGUAAAACUCUGUUAUUGGGGAAGAACAAAUGUGUAAGUAACUAUGCACGUCUUGACGGUACCUAAUCAGAAAGCCACGGCUAACUACGUG